GACGAACGCUGGCGGCGUGCUUAACACAUGCAAGUCGAACGAAGAGCGAUGGAAGCUUGCUUCUAUCAAUCUUAGUGGCGAACGGGUGAGUAACGCGUAAUCAACCUGCCCUUCAGAGGGGGACAACAGUUGGAAACGACUGCUAAUACCGCAUACGAUCCAAUCUCGGCAUCGAGACUGGAUGAAAGGUGGCCUCUAUUUAUAAGCUAUCACUGAAGGAGGGGAUUGCGUCUGAUUAGCUAGUUGGAGGGGUAACGGCCCACCAAGGCGAUGAUCAGUAGCCGGUCUGAGAGGAUGAACGGCCACAUUGGGACUGAGACACGGCCCAGACUCCUACGGGAGGCAGCAGUGGGGAAUCUUCCGCAAUGGACGAAAGUCUGACGGAGCAACGCCGCGUGAGUGAUGACGGCCUUCGGGUUGUAAAGCUCUGUUAAUCGGGACGAA
Molecule: ribosomal RNA, 444 nt
Filed under: Veillonella atypica
Lineage: Bacteria; Bacillati; Bacillota; Negativicutes; Veillonellales; Veillonellaceae
Description: bacterial SSU rRNA
Rfam family: Bacterial small subunit ribosomal RNA
Source: RNAcentral